GAAUACAAAGUCAUUCUUGUUCACAAUCAAAGUUUCCUCCUUCACUUUAUCGCACCCUACACAUUUCCCUGCAUCUUGAUUUCUAGUGUCAUUUUGCUUUGUCACCUGCGCGUCUCCUGAAACCUUCUUUGCUGCUUCUGCGUAGCUUAUUCCCUGAGUAGCCUUGACUCGCUGCACCUCUGCCGCUCUUUUACUAACUUCGCAUCCGCGGUAAGCUGAGCUAUGUUCUCCUCCACAAUUACAACACUUCAGCUUUGUCCCCUCUGCACAUUUGCCAUACUCGUGGUUUCCACCGCAUCUACCACACGUUUGCUUUCCCUUGCACACGGAUGCUACGUGUCCGAACCUCUGACAUUUAAAACAUCUGAGAGGUGGGGGAACAUACGGCCUCACAUCAUAACAUAUAUAUCCAAUAAAGAUCUUUUCCGGGAGUCUUUCCUCAUCAAAUGUGAUCAGUACAGAGAGACUGUCACUUUUAAUCCCAUUUCUGCUUGCUUUAAGACAUCUGACUUCACUCACUUUGGCAUUUGUUACAUUUCCUUUAACAUCAUCUGCUGUUACAUUUACCGGAACCCCUGUAAAACUCCCCUGACCAAUUUUCUGUCAGUCGUCAGAGAACAUUGUACUUUCUUGCCAUUUAUUUUAUUCAUUCUGUUUGCUUUUCCUUGUUGUACUUCAUCCUUACAUAUAAUUAGUAAUGAUCCAUUUCGCAAUAUUUUAGCACUCCUUACCUCCCCGAUUUCUUUACUUAUGGAUUUAGUUAGCUGUAUUGGAUUCCAAUCGCAGAAUGAAGCCCCAUCUUGCACAAGUUUUACUAUUGCCUUGAAAUCCUCUCUCCUCCUUUCAGUUACAGUUGCUCUCCCGUCACUAUCACUCCCAUCCGAUCUUAGGCUCUUUUUACGCUUAUUUUUCCUACCUGCUAUAUUCCACUUUUCAUAACUCCCGCCACCUUCGACCAUCUCUCCUAACUCACUUCCUGAACCGUCACUUCCUUCUGCCAUCUCUCGUCCACCAACCAAACCGCUCCCCAAAAACCUCCAGGAGCCAGUCUUCUUACUGCAUUGUUAACCACAGCUGUGUUUACAAAUGUGUUGCAGCUGAUUGGGUAACACCUCUGACACGCCCACCAAACGGGGAAGCUCUUUGUCCAAGUUGCACAAUGUUGAUUGAAAAACUGUUAAUUAAUAACUAAUUAAAAAAGUUAGAGAGAACCCAGCUUUCUUCGCAGUGCUGUGAAAGUGUUUUUCUGUUCUGUGACUUUAUUUUAUAACUGUACACUGGGAUGACCGGAGGCAGUAUGUGGAGUCAGUUUGCCGCAUUCCUGUUAUGGUAACGUUAGCAACCGAUGGUUAACAUAACGUAUGCCUAUCACCAGUGGCUGAAACCUUUCCAGACAGUCGUCAACACAUAUGAUUUUUCAUCUGAGGCUGCUCCUUGUUACCUGCGCUUUGGUCUGAUCUGUCCUUUCAAGUGGUACCUGAGAGCUGAGUUUCCUCGAGCUUCAAAGACAUUUCGGAUCAAACAGAGUAUUGAGUGGCACUACAGCUAUCCAAGUCAGCCAUCCUGCUUAAAACAACUUGAGAGAGACACACCACAACUGAUUGCCCUGUACAGGCAGAAGGUUCAAGAGAGCAGAGGACCUGCAGAGAUCCUCAGGAUUUAUGACCUUCAGGAACAACACGAGGUACACAUGAGAUGCCAUCCAACCCUCCGUGGCCUCCCAGUGAACCUGCUAGCGGAUGACUGAUGUCUUCAAAACCUGCAAUUGCAAAGAUGAACCAGACAUUGCUGAACCUCCUCAUUGUGGUCACUGAUGCUCCUGGUGCAGUCCGCUUCAGCCAAAGUGAAAGGGCUUCUCAGUGCCAAGACAGACCACAAAGUCGUAACAGAGGUGGUUCAGGAGGGAAACAACUUCACCUGGACACAAAGCAUCCCCAACUGGACCUGGUCCAAUAAGUUCAGCAUUGGUCAGGAAUGUGAGUUGUCGA
Micropterus dolomieu (smallmouth bass) is the source of this 1988-nucleotide RNA transcript. It is a transcript of the gene named gastrotropin-like, with no coding region annotated. The record is from RefSeq and is a predicted model, not a curated record. Lineage: Eukaryota; Metazoa; Chordata; Actinopteri; Centrarchiformes; Centrarchidae. The transcript has 8 exons.